Gorilla gorilla gorilla (western lowland gorilla) is the source of this 104-nucleotide small nuclear RNA. Lineage: Eukaryota; Metazoa; Chordata; Mammalia; Primates; Hominidae. The record is from Ensembl.
GUGCUUGAUUCAGCAGCACAUAUACUAAAAUUGGAACAAUACAGAGAUGAGCAUGGCCCUGGUGCAAGAAUGAUAUGCAAACUUGUGAAGUGUUCCAUAUUUUU